UACAGAGGGUGCGAGCGUUAAUCGGAGUUACUGGGCGUAAAGGGCGCGUAGGCGGUGAGAUGGGUGUGGUGUGAAAGCCCCGGGCUUAACCUGGGAAGUGCACCGCAAACUAUCUGACUGGAGUAUAAGAGAGGGUGGCGGAAUUUCCGGUGUAGCGGUGAAAUGCGUAGAGAUCGGAAGGAACGUCAAUGGCGAAGGCAGCCACCUGGCUUAAUACUGACGCUGAGGCGCGAAAGCGUGGGGAGCGAACAGG
RNAcentral lists this ribosomal RNA (253 nucleotides) under uncultured prokaryote. RNAcentral's name for it is "partial 16S ribosomal RNA". It matches the Rfam family "Bacterial small subunit ribosomal RNA", at positions 524 to 776 of the family's 1533-position model. The record is from RNAcentral.